UUUCUUCUCACUUCUAAACAUUCUUCAUGCAUGUCUAGCACUUGUAAUCAAUCAAAUUCAUUGUAUUAUAACAUAUUCUAACCCAAAAUAACUUAAUACAAGCCAUUCACUGCCUCAAAGCAAUGGUUUUGAGUUCUUAUCCCAUUUGAGACCAAAUUUCAACAAGUCUUUAUUCUCACUUUUAAACAUUCUUCAUGCAUGUCUAGCACUUGUAAUCAAUCAAAUUCAUUUUAUUAUAACAUAUUCUAACCCAAAAUAACUUUAUACAAGCCAUUCACUGCCUCAAAGCAAUGGUUUUGGGUUCUUAUCACAUUUGAGACCAAAUUUCA
Molecule: long non-coding RNA, 329 nt
Filed under: Capsella rubella
Lineage: Eukaryota; Viridiplantae; Streptophyta; Magnoliopsida; Brassicales; Brassicaceae
Description: long non-coding RNA (CRUB_LNC000007)
Source: RNAcentral